Molecule: long non-coding RNA, 469 nt
Filed under: Pan troglodytes (chimpanzee)
Lineage: Eukaryota; Metazoa; Chordata; Mammalia; Primates; Hominidae
Description: lncRNA (ENSPTRG00000054343.1)
Source: RNAcentral
GAGCUAGAAUUUGAUUCCAAUGCCUUUUCUCUUUUCAGUUGAUUCACUGCCUCUCCUACUAUUUACAACAAAGUUCUUAAAAAGUGUGUGUUGAUGAGCAAGUAUAUCCUGCUUAGACAUAAAAUGACCUGGAAAUGGAAAUUUACUGUAGGAGUGCUGAAGCAUGACUGCAACAGACUUGCAGUUGUGCAGGAGAUCCAUUCAGCCGCACAGAGAUGACCGGAAAAAUGGCUGGCGCAGGUAAUUUUCCAUUGCAUCGGUUCUUCUGGUGUUUUCAGGAUCUGUGCCAAAUGCGAGGCUGCCCUUGCCACUAAGGACUUCUAACAUUGCAACUAUCAAGAUGAUGAUGAACUCAUCAACAGAUGGAGAGAGACUGCUGUAUUUUGAAGGACUCUGGAUAAUAAAUAGGUAAUACUGAUAAAUCUUAUACUUAUUUUUGUUUAAACUGGGAAAAAUAAAGCAAUGGUAG